AUUGAACGCUGGCGGCAGGCCUAACACAUGCAAGUCGAGCGCGCGGCGGCCGUGUGCUUCCUGUCUGGUAAACUGCCUGAUGGAGGGGGCUCACUCCUGGACCCGGUAGCUAAUACCUCCUCCCAUCAGCUUUUCCCAGAGGGGAUUAGCUAGUAGGUGGGGUAACGGCUCACCUAGGCGACGAUCCCUAGCUGGUCUGAGAGGAUGACCAGCCACACUGGAACUGAGACACGGUCCAGACUCCUACGGGAGGCAGCAGUGGGGAAUAUUGCACAAUGGGCGCAAGCCUGAUGCAGCCAUGCCGCGUGUUGGAAGAAGGCCUUCGGGUUGUAAAGCACUUUCAGCGGGGAGGCGGGACCCGAAGAAGAAGCACCGGCUAACUCCGUGCCAGCAGCCGCGGUAAUAC
This 406-nucleotide ribosomal RNA is filed under the name uncultured bacterium. Its description in RNAcentral is "partial 16S ribosomal RNA". It matches the Rfam family "Bacterial small subunit ribosomal RNA", at positions 30 to 526 of the family's 1533-position model. The record is from RNAcentral.